UGGAGGCAGGGUUUUGGCUGGGCACGGUGGGUCAUGCCUGUAAUCCCCGCACUUUGGGAGCCGAGGCAGGUGGAUCACUUGAAGUCGGGAGUUCCAGACCAGCCUGGCCAACAUGGUGAAACCCUGUCUCUACUAAAAAUACAAAAAUUAGCUGGGCAUGGUGGCACAUGCCUGUAAUCCCAGCUACUCGGGAGGCUGAGGCAGGAGAAUUGCUUGAACCCAGGAGGCAGAGGUUGUAGUGAGCCAAGAUCGUGCCACUGCACUCCAGUCUGGGCGACAAAGUGAGACGCUGUAUCAAAAAAAAAAAAAAAAAAAGAGGCAGGAUCUUGCUCUGUCAUCCAGGCUGGAGUGCAGUGUCACCUUCAUAGCUCACUGGAGCCUCAAACUCCUGGGCUCAAGUGAUUCUUCUACCUCGGCCUCCCAAAGUGCUGAGAUUACAGCUGUGAGCCAUCGCACCUGGCUAGGAGGUGACAUUUGAACUGAAACUUAAAUCAUGACCUCAUGACUGAGAGCCAUCUGUGCAAAUGUCUGGGUCAGAGCAUUCCAGUCAAAGGGAGCAGCAAGUGUAAAACCCCUUGGCAGGAACAAACUUGAAGUGUUCAAGAAAAGCAAGGUGCCGAUGUUACUAGGACCAAGUGAGAUGGGGCAGAAGAUGAAGUCAGAGAAGCAGACAAAGACAAAUUAUGAAGAUCCUUGGAUGCCAUGAACAAACACAGACUAGCCUGCUGGAAGAUGAGAGAUCAUGUGGAAUGGAGCCAAGUCAACCCAGCUGAGGCCAUCCUAGACCAGCCAGCUGCCAGUCAACCCUGUAGCUGCUUGCAGAUUCAUUACAAAGUCCAGUCAAGGUCUCACUCUGAUGCCCAGGCUGGAGUGCAGUGGAGUGCAGUGCAGUGGAUCUUGACUCAUCACAACCUCCACCUCCUGGGCUCAAGUGAUCCUCCCACCUCAA
This 949-nucleotide long non-coding RNA is filed under the name Homo sapiens (human). RNAcentral describes it as "HSALNT0004791". The record is from RNAcentral. Lineage: Eukaryota; Metazoa; Chordata; Mammalia; Primates; Hominidae.